This is a long non-coding RNA of Ornithorhynchus anatinus (platypus), 434 nucleotides long. RefSeq lists it as uncharacterized. The transcript has 3 exons. The record is from RefSeq and is a predicted model, not a curated record. NCBI's taxonomy places the organism in Eukaryota, Metazoa, Chordata, Mammalia, Monotremata, Ornithorhynchidae.
ACUCAUGACCUUGUGUCCUCAACUAGCGCACCGAAGAAUCUCCAAGGAGUUUCCACAAGAAGAGCUAAGGUGGCUAGAAAGUUCGCUUCUCUUAUGUGUCCGUUUCAGCAGACCCCCCCUGGAGAACUCUCCUGUGUCGGAAAAUCUCACCUGCUGGAGAGAGACCAUCCAUUCGACAUGGUCUACCUAUCUUCGAAUCAAGAGAGACGUAGGAGGGGAAGGAUGCGAGCCUCAGCAUUUGGGAACGCCAGCCCCUUCAACAUCAACGUGGAGUCUAUCUGACCUUGGAAAGACCAAAUGACAGGUUUCUUUCCCUCUCCAGAGUGAUGAAAAGGGACCAAGAAAAAAUGCAGAAAAGUAAGAAAAUGACUGACCAAAUGAUCAGGCCUGGAUGCAGAUGGAAGACCUAAAAGGAUUAAAAAAAAAAAAAAAAA